CGGGAAGAAAUCGCAGAAGUUAAUAUCUGGUGUGGAUGACAGUACCGGUAUAAGAAAACCGGUUGACGACGGGCCAGCGGACGCGGUAAUACGUAGGGUGCGAGCGUUAAUCCGGAAUUACUGGGGCGUAAAGCGUGCGCAGGCGGUUUUUUAAGACAGGCGUGAAAUCCCCGGGCUCAACCUGGGAACUGCGCUUGUGACUGGAAGGCUACAGUAUGGCAGAGGGGGGUGGAAUUCCACGUGUAGCCAGUGAAAUGCGUAGAGAUGUGGAGGAACACCGAUGGCGAAGGCAGCCCCCUGGGCCAAUACUGACGCUCAUGGGCGAAAGGGUGGGGAGCAAACAGGAUUAGAUACCCUGGUAGUCCACGCCCUAAACGAUGUCAACUAGGUGUUGGGUGGGUAAAACCAUUUAGUACCGGAGCUAACGCGUGAAGUUGACCGCCUGGGGAGUACGGCCGCAAGGUUAAAACUCAAAAGGAAUUGACGGGGACCCGCACAAGCGGUGGAUGAUGUGGAUUAAUUCGAUGCAACGCGAAAAACCUUACCUACCCCUUGACAUGUCCAGGAGCCUGAAGAGAUUUUGGGUGUGCCCCGAAAGGGAACUUGGAACACAGGCGCUGCAUGGCUGUCGUCAGGCUCGUGUCGUGAGAAUCGUGGUGAGGAUAAGUCCUGGAGACCUGAGCGCAAUCCUUGUCGUUAAUUGAACCAUCAUUUAGUUGGGCACUUUAACGAGACUGCGGUGAUCAAACCGGAGGAAGGUGGGGAUGACGUCAAGUCGCUCCUGCCUUAUGAGUGUGGGCUUCCCACCGUGGAGAACAAUGUCCGGUACAAAGCGUUGCGAUGCCGCCGAGGUGGAGUCUACGAUCCCAUAACUAGCCGAUCGUAGUC
RNAcentral lists this ribosomal RNA (888 nucleotides) under uncultured Rhodocyclales bacterium. RNAcentral's name for it is "bacterial SSU rRNA". It matches the Rfam family "Bacterial small subunit ribosomal RNA", at positions 441 to 1293 of the family's 1533-position model. Lineage: Bacteria; Pseudomonadati; Pseudomonadota; Betaproteobacteria; Rhodocyclales. The record is from RNAcentral.